This 477-nucleotide ribosomal RNA is filed under the name uncultured bacterium. Its description in RNAcentral is "bacterial SSU rRNA". It matches the Rfam family "Bacterial small subunit ribosomal RNA", at positions 335 to 799 of the family's 1533-position model. The record is from RNAcentral.
ACUCCUACGGGAGGCAGCAGUGGGGAAUAUUGCACAAUGGGGGAAACCCUGAUGCAGCCAUGCCGCGUGUGUGAAGAAGGCCUUCGGGUUGUAAAGCACUUCAGUAGGGAGGAAGGUAGUGUAGUUAACACCUGCAUUAUUUGACGUUACCUACAGAAGAAGCACCGGCUAACUCCGUGCCAGCAGCCGCGGUAAUACGGAGGGUGCGAGCGUUAAUCGGAAUUACUGGGCGUAAAAGCGCAUGCAGGCGGCCUGUUAAGUCAGAUGUGAAAGCCCGGGGCUUAACCUCGGAAUUGCAUUUGAAAACUGGCAGGCUAGAGUCUUGUAGAGGGGGGUAGAAUUUCAGGUGUAGCGGUGAAAUGCGUAGAGAUCUGAAGGAAUACCAGUGGCGAAGGCGGCCCCCUGGACAAAAGACUGACGCUCAGAUGCGAAAAGCGUGGGGAGCAAAACAGGAUUAGAUACCCUGGUAGGAUAGCG